CCGGUUAAUUUAAAAGAGAUCGGAUGAGAGUUCUUAUCCGAUUCUCACAUCAAACCUUAACCUGUACGUAAAAUAAUCCCAAAACCAAGAUGAUUCGCGACACCAACUCACUGAGGUUGUCUCAUUUACUUGUGUAUCUGGGUGAUCCAAAUUCAGUGAGAAAUCAAAUGUUCCUUUAGCCAAAAGGAUUAACAUUCCCAUU
RNAcentral lists this unclassified non-coding RNA (202 nucleotides) under Hevea brasiliensis (rubber tree). Lineage: Eukaryota; Viridiplantae; Streptophyta; Magnoliopsida; Malpighiales; Euphorbiaceae. The record is from RNAcentral.